This 260-nucleotide ribosomal RNA is filed under the name uncultured Glomus. RNAcentral describes it as "partial 18S ribosomal RNA". It matches the Rfam family "Eukaryotic small subunit ribosomal RNA", at positions 624 to 884 of the family's 1831-position model. Lineage: Eukaryota; Fungi; Glomeromycota; Glomeromycetes; Glomerales; Glomeraceae. The record is from RNAcentral.
AAGCUCGUAGUUGAAUUUCGGGAUUGACGUGACGGUCGUGCCUUACGGGUAUGAACUGUCGCCGUUGAUUUCUCACCUUCUGGAGAAGCUCGAUGUCCUUAAUUGGGUGUCUUGCGGAACCAGGACCUUUACCUUGAAAAAAUUAGAGUGUUUAAAGCAGGCAUUUUGCUCGAAUACAUUAGCAUGGAAUAAUAGAAUAGGACGGCAUGGUUCUAUUUUGUGGUUUCAAGGAUCACCGUAAUGAUUAAUAGGAUAUUGGG